GACGUAGGGGGCGAGCGUUGUCCGGAAUUACUGGGCGUAAAGAGCACGUAGGCGGGAACCUAAGUCAGGUGUGAAAGACCGUGGCUCAACCACGGGGUGGCAUUUGAAACUGGGUUUCUUGAGGGCAGGAGAGGAAAGCAGAAUUCCUGGUGUAGCGGUGAAAUGCGUAGAAAUCAGGAGGAAUACCAGUGGCGAAGGCGGCUUUCUGGACUGACCCUGACGCUGAGGAGCGAAAGUGUGGGUAGCAAACAGGAUUAGAUACCCUGGUAGUCCCUGAG
This 278-nucleotide ribosomal RNA is filed under the name uncultured prokaryote. RNAcentral describes it as "partial 16S ribosomal RNA". It matches the Rfam family "Bacterial small subunit ribosomal RNA", at positions 524 to 801 of the family's 1533-position model. The record is from RNAcentral.